RNAcentral lists this small nuclear RNA (157 nucleotides) under Neotoma lepida (desert woodrat). RNAcentral's name for it is "U1 spliceosomal RNA". It matches the Rfam family "U1 spliceosomal RNA". From Rfam's summary of the family: U1 is a small nuclear RNA (snRNA) component of the spliceosome (involved in pre-mRNA splicing). Its 5' end forms complementary base pairs with the 5' splice junction, thus defining the 5' donor site of an intron. The record is from Rfam by way of RNAcentral. Lineage: Eukaryota; Metazoa; Chordata; Mammalia; Rodentia; Cricetidae.
AAUGGCAGGAGUGAUACCACGAUCAUGAAGAUGGUAUCCUCAGGGUGAGGCUUAUUCAUUGCACUCCAGUUGUGCUGAACUCUGUGAUGUCCCCAAAUGUGGGAAAGUCAACUGCAUAAUUGAAUAUAUUUAUAAAAAAUAUAUAAUGUAUUUAUUA